UACGUAGGGGGGCAAGCGUUGUCCGGAGUUACUGGGCGUAAAGCGCACGCAGGCGGAUCGUUAAGUCAGGGGUGAAAUCCCGAGGCUCAACCUCGGAACUGCCUUUGAUACUGGUCGAUCUUUGAGUCCGGGAGAGGUGAGUGGAACUCCGAGUGUAGAGGUGAAAUUCGUAGAUAUUCGGAGAACACCAGUGGCGAAAGGCGGACUCACUGGACCGGUAUUGACGCUGAGGUGCGAAAGCGUGGGGAGCAAAACAGGAUUGAGAUACCCGUGGUAGUCACGAGCCAAGUCCUAUGCCAUACC
This 303-nucleotide ribosomal RNA is filed under the name uncultured bacterium. RNAcentral describes it as "partial 16S ribosomal RNA". It matches the Rfam family "Bacterial small subunit ribosomal RNA", at positions 524 to 818 of the family's 1533-position model. The record is from RNAcentral.